Molecule: ribosomal RNA, 2347 nt
Filed under: Thermoplasmata archaeon
Lineage: Archaea; Methanobacteriati; Thermoplasmatota; Thermoplasmata
Description: bacterial LSU rRNA
Rfam family: Archaeal large subunit ribosomal RNA
Source: RNAcentral
UGCAGUCGCUCGGCCAUCUGGUGGAUGGCUCGGCUCGAGUGCCGACGAAGGUCGUGCCAAGCCGCGAUAGGCGAGGGGUAGGCGCAAGGAACCUUAGAUCCCUCGAUCGCCUAAUAGGACUUCCUGCUAGAGCAAACCUCUAGCGAUCCAUGCGGAUAGGGAACUCCCCGAAUUGAAACAUCUUAGUAGGGGAUGGAAAAGAAAUCAAAUGAGAUGCCGUGAGUAAAGUCGAUCGAAAGCGGUGUAGAGCAAACCGAAUCCUUCCAGAAAUGGUAAGGACAUGGGGUGUUUUGGAUCCUGGCACAUCUUACCCAUCCAAUGCGAAGUCUCUUGGAAUAGAGCACCAAAGAGGGUGAUAGUCCCGUAGGAGAUAGAUGGAAAGAUGAUUCGGGGUCUCCAGAGUAGCGUGCGUUGGAUAACGCGCGUGAAUUUGGGAGGCAUACACUCCCAACCCUAAACACAACUCGAGACCGAUAGUAAACUAGUAUCGUGAGUGAAAGCUGAAAAGUAUCCUUGACGGGAGAUGAAAAGAACCUGAAACCAGAUGGUUACAGACUGAUAGUGCAUGAAAGGGACGAAGCUCUUUAGCAAGAGUGGACCGAUGUGCUAUCGUACGUUCUGAAAAACGGGCCAGAGAGUUCUGAUCCAUGGCGAGGCUAAGCCUGCUAAGGGCGGAGCCAAAGGGAAACCAACAAGUUCGCAUCCCGCAUCUGCGGGAGAGGAACGAGGUGUGCUCGCCUGGAGUCAUCGGUCAGAGAUCCGAAACCGGUCGAUCUAUGCCUGGGCAAGGUGAAGCCUUCCGAAAGGGAGGGGGAAGCCUGCAGGGGUAGUGAGCUACAAAUCCUUCCCAUGACCUGGGUAUAGGGGUGAAAGUCCAAUCUAGACCGGAUAUAGCUGGUUCCUUCCGAGACUACUCGAAGGGAGGCCCUGUUUGAGGUAGAUGAUGGCGUAGAGCACUGAUUGGGUAUUCGGGGGCGAGAGCCCUUGGUAUCCUGUCAAACUCCGAAUUCAUCAUCGCCGUAGACGACAGGAGUGAGGGCGCCGGGGUAAGCCUGGUGUCCGAAAGGGCAAGAACCCAGCCUAGGGUUAAGGUCCCAUGAAUGCCGACUAAGUGUUAGAUUGAAGGGUGUCCGCAGUCCAAAACAACUAGGAGGUGGGCUUAGAAGCAGCCUUCCUUUAAAGAGUUCGUAACAGAUCACUAGUCGAGAUUGUGGGCCCCGAAAAUGGACGGGGCUAAGUCGGCUACCGAUACCCUAGAGUACUGAAAAGUAAUCUGGUAGGAAGGCGUCGUGCGUGGGUAGAAGCUUGGUCGUGAGAUCGAGUGGACCGCGUUCGAACGAGAAUUCUGGUAUGAGUAGCAGCAAAGAACGGUGAGAAUCCGUUCCGCCGUAGGGGCUAGGGUUCCUCGGCAAUGAUUAUCAGCCGAGGGUUAGCCGGUCCUAAGGUGACUCUUAACCGAAGUCACCGAACAGGGAAACAGGUUAAUAUUCCUGUGCCUCUAGCGUCUCUGCCCAGUCUAUGACGCAUCGGGAUCGCUUGAGCAGAGCCCUCGCUCUGUCGAAUCGUAUAAGUCCGGGGAGAACCGUAAUGGUGAGAACCGGAUGAAAGCUUGAUAGGGCGGACUGAGUCCGCUUCAGGCUAAUCCUGGUGCCCGUGAAAAGUAAACUGGUUAACAACGCUAGAGACCGUACCGAGAACUGACACAGGUGUCCCUGCCAUAGCAAGGCAAGGCGUGUCGGAUAAAAUCAGGCUAGGGAAUUCGGCAAAUUGGCCCCGUACCUUCGGUAGAAGGGGUGCCAGUCAUGUGAAUGGCUGGUUGCAAUAACAAGGGGUCCUCGACUGUUUAAUAAAAACACAGAUGGCAGCUAGUUCGAAAGGAUUUGUACUGCCGUCGAAUCCUGCCCAGUGUCGGUAUCUGAAUCCCUCUUACAAGAGGUGGAAGGACCGAUAAACGGCGGGAGUAACUAUGACUCUCUUAAGGUAGCGUAAUACCUUGCCGCUUAAUUGGCGGCUUGCAUGAAGGAUCAACGAAGGACCCACUGUCCCAGCCCGAUAUCCGGGGAAAAUGACAUUCUGGCGCACAGUCCAGAAUCCUCUACUUGAAAGAGAAGACCCUGUGGAGCUUGACUGCAAUCUGUUGUUGGGGCAUGACCUCAAAUGUGCAGUGUAGGUAGGAGCCGUUACACAGGUGCGAGCGCAAGCUUGUCGCCGAGGCGUCCAUGAAACACUACCCUUUUGAGAUCGUGUCCCUAACCGCUUCGGUGGGACAUCGAUAGACGGGCAGUUUGGGUGGGGCGCCACACCCUUGAAAAGAUAACAAGGGCGUCCAAAGGUCGGCUCAGGUGGG